GAAACCCUACAGUCCGAAUUCUCUCUAUAUCAGGCGAGCAUUUGUGUGCAUGGGUGUUUGAAUGUGUUUAUGUUUUGAAUGUGUAUAUUUAUGUGUGGUUCUCCAUGUGUAUAUUUGUGUGUAUGUAUGUGAAUCUGUGGGUAUUUAGGCGUGUUUAAACCCCCUACCUAUGUCUUCCAUUCCCCUGAUGCACCCAAGGGGGGCUGUAGCCCCAGGGUUUUUUUCCUCUUGAGUCCCUCCUUUGGUUUGUGUGGGGCCACUUGCCCUGCCACCCUAAUUUUCUAUUUCUGUUCCUGUAGAAAGGAGGGGAGAAGAGGGGGGAGUUGGAGCCAAAGGAGGAAGAGCUGUUCUCCUCCCCACAUACAGCCCAGCCCUUUCCCUGGCUUUGUUUGUAAACUCCUGGGCAAGCAGUGUGAUCUGGCAGCCCUGCUUGGUCCAGAAAAGGGUCCAGAAGGCCAGUGUGAAGGACUGUGGCCCAGCCCAGAGGUUGGGAUGGGAAGAAUUAGCCUCUUGGGCUUCUUGUCCCUUCAUAUGUCCUCCAGAGAGGGAAUCAAGCUGAGCUAUGGGACAGGGGACAGUUUCUCUUCCUGGAUGCUUCCAGCAUAAGGUCCCGUGAGCAUCAGAGAUCAGUUUUUUGUUUUUUGGUUUGUUUGUUUUUUGUUUUUAAAUUUCCUGGUUAGGACCUGUAGGAGAAUGGAUUCUUGUUUGGGACCCCCAAUGCCUGCCCCAGGUCUGCUUGGGAGUGUUGGGAAAAGCUAUUUACCCUCUUGGGCAUCUUUGUCCUGCAUUUUGUGGGGGAGGACAGGUAUUUUAGAAGCGGGAAUGGUGAGAAUAUUCCCUCAGAGCUGCAGAGCUAUCCCCAAAGCAGGCCUGUCUCUGAUGCAUUGGUGCUAUUCUGGGAGCCAUGAGGUGAGGGUGGCCCUGGAGUCAGAGUCAGGAGAUGGUAGAGAGGGACCUGAGGGAGAGGACUCCAGGGAGUUGGAUCCUGCUGGCUUGUAAUCUCUGGGACCUGGGACCAAAGAGGAUCUGCUCUUUCCUCUGACUUCCUGCUCUCAGGAUUCUGCUUCAGCCUCUGACCCACAGACCUUUCCUGCUAAAACCCCAAAGCCCUGACCCAGAGCCUCAGGCAAGCCAUAGCCCCCAUCCUAGGGGACUCCUUGGUCUCAAUCCUCCAGAGGGGCUCCCUCCCACACUUCCCCUCCCCCAUUCCUCCAGUUUGUUCCUGUCACCACAGCUGAUAUUGGCCUGCAAGACAGGAUCUUAAGGACAACCCUGCUAGUAUUCAUCUUCCAGUUUCUCAGGAUCAGCAGAGUUUAGGAUUAUUGUGAGGCUGCCUGGAAGGUUAGAAAGGAGAAUUGGGGAACAUAGGGGUGGGAACAUAGAAUUCCUCCACUGGAACCCUGUUUCCCUGCCCUUUUAGUCUUUGGCCACAUUGUGUCACAGUGGACAGAACAUUCUGCAAUCAUCUGCGACAUAACCCCUUCCAUCCCACCAUCACCAAAUCUUUUCUUCCCUUUCUGGUAACUACCUGCCACCCAGUCCCAAGGCUUUGUGGUUUGUUUGUUUGUUUGUUGGGUUGUUUGUUUGGUUGGUUGUUUGUUUGUUUGUUUGUUUGGCAUAAUUGGUUGAACUCUGUCACAUAGCUUUGGUCAGCACAGCUGGGGGUUCAGGGGGCACACAUGGUGCCACCUGUCUGUUUUGUGGCUUAGGGCCCCCUGCCUCCAUCACCUCAUCCAGAUUAUCUUCAAAAACCAGGCCAACUGCCCUAAUGAUUUUAUCUCCUAUCCUGUGGUUUUCCGAAACUCCAGACUCCAGUGUGUGGGCAGCAGGGAUCUUCUUGAACUCCUAGUGCCCAAAUCCAUGGGCUCCUCCUGCAGAGAUAGGAGCUGUUUUGGGUUUGUCUUCAGACUCACUCUCACUUCUGCCAAAAUGGGAGAUCCUCAAGGACUGGGUCCUUGAUGGGGGGAUUCCAUCUACUUCAGACCUUCACAGGCCAGGCAGAGCCGGAACCGGGCACCCUUAAGUAUUGGCUGAGUGAGUUUUUGUCAAGCUAAUGGAGUAUAAACAAUUGUGCAAGGAGGAGGGGGAAGGUUUGGGCCUUGGCAGUCCCACCUCAGAGGAGUGUUGGAGAUUGUGAGAUUUGGAAAGGGGAGUAAGUAAUUUAGAGGAAGUUGGGGUGAGGGUUGGUGGGAAGGAACUUUGCCAUUGCUCCAGGAUCCCACCUUCUGCUCCGUAUCCCUUCACUCCUGGGAUCCAAGGCUGGAUCAGGAAGACUCUCUAAGGGCUCCCCAACCCUAAUCUGCUGGGUGUCUUCUCCUCUGGAGGUGGAAGCAGCUGAUCCCUGGAGUCUGCUCCACGGAGAGAAUGCCUGUCUUCAGAGCCUGAUCUAUACUCUAUCCUGACUCCUGAAUUCCUGCCUGCUGCCUAUGCUGCCAGAAUCCAGCCUUAUUCCAUAUCCAGUGGGAGGGGAAGGGAUUAUUCUGCCCCAAAUCUGCUUUCCUCCUAGUUUAGUGAAUAUUCCAGACAAAGAGGCGGCAUGGCUAAGGAGACCCUGUAGACUCAAACAAAUUAUUCCUUAGUAUGAGAGAAUAAUUCAAGUAACCCCCCAAACACUCCCUCCUCUUUAAUCUGGAUUGUUUUGCUUGCCCCAUUCAUUUCUAGGUAUUUGUGUAAGCAUCAGCAUUGGCUUUCAGGCCAGAGCUACCCUCAGAAAAAAUGUUCUGACACUUCUUGAAAUGAGUUAGCUUGACCACCAAUUGGGAUCAUUUCUUUCCCCCAGGGAUUUGCUACUGUGACACUCCUUGUGGAAUCAAGAGAGUGUUUCUUCUGCUGUAGAAGUAGACUCCAAUAGUUGGCUGCCUGCCACCCUGGCUGAACCAGGACUGCCCACUUGGUUUUUACAUUCUGCCCUAGGCCACUUUCUGCAGGAACAACAAUAACAAUAACCAUGACAAUAAACACCAUAAGCCCUUACCAUGUGCUUGGCUUCAGGCUGAGUUUUAGUGACUUCAUUUAUUACUUACAACCACGUGAGGUAGGUAUUGCUAUUACCCUGAUUUUAUGUAUAAGGAAAAUGAGGCCCAGAGAAGUUAAGUAACACAUCCAAAGUCACACAGCCUAUUUGGGAGUGAUUAGGAUUUGAAGACUGUUUUUUGUGUUUUGUUUUGUUUUGUUUUGUUUUUACUUGUCUUAAUCCUGGAACUGUGAGGUUCUAACCAGAGCCCAAAGUCUCCUUGAAUGGGCUUUAGGGACUCUACAGAUCCCAGAAAUUGUGUGUAAAAUUAUGUAUGUGAGCCCAAGUGUGUACAUGUUUCCGGGGGCAAUGUUAUAUAACAUACUGGAUUUUCAAAAGGGGUUGGAGAUCCAGAAAAGGUUAAGGCAAGAAGCAGGCCAAUAGGGGAAGCGGGGAAGCUGCUUCUCCACAGGCAGGCCUAGGGAGCAGAGAGCCAGUUGCUCCAAAAUUCAGGCCAGGCUCCAAGACUGCUUCUGGACCUGCUGUCUCUGGCCAGGUGCAGCUCUCAGGACCUCUUCUGGCAAAAAGAGAUGGGGGCAGGGUCUAUGGCCAGGGCACCUAUUUGGAGCGCACCUUUCCCUGCUUCUCUCCCUCCACUUGCUGACUUCUUCUGUGAACAGAACUCCUUCAGAACUGAAAGGGUCUCUAUUCCCUCCUUUUCUGGCACCUCUGGCUGUUUUUAGUGCUUAACUCAUCUUGGGGAGCCUUCCCUGCUCUGUUCAGCCCUCUGUGCUCCUUAGCAACGCGCCCUUGGAGCCACUGUCAGAUUGCCAGGAACUGCUGGUUUGUCUGCCCUUCUGCCUCUCUCCACGUGGCUGUGAACUUGGGAACCUGAAUCUCCUCUCCAUGCCCUAUGCCAGCCUGGCAUAUACCAAGGGCUCUCCGUGCAUUCCUUGAAUGAAUAAACUAAAUGAAUGAUAAGAGACAAAAGAGAGAGCCAGUCAAGGACCUCUGCCUGUGCCCCAGAGAGAGGAUGAGGAGUGUAAGGGGAGAGUAGGUGCAUUGUUUUGCCAGCUGUGUGCAGAUGUGUGAGGCACCCCUGCUGCUCGUACCUCCAACAUACACGAAGGGUCUCAGAGACGUCAUUUUUUAAUGCUUUUUGGCCAUGGAGGGAGGUGGGGGGAGUGGGGACCUGGGUUCCGGACCAGCUGUGGUAUGACCUGACUCAGGAAUGGAGUUUGUUCUCUCUCUCUUUUUAAAAUACAGGAUUGAACCCCCUUAAUAUUUGGGGCCCAGAAGCAAAGAGGAAGAACACAGAAGAAGGAGAGAGAUGGGCAGGCAGGAAAGAGUGGCAGGAAACACGCCUCCACUCCAGUAGCCCAGGGCACUAUGAAGAGGGUAAAGGAGGGCCUGGUUCCAUCCUAGUGGAGAUGACAUUUGAAUUGAGCCUUGAAAAUCCAGGAGCAUUAGGGUAGGUGCAGAAGUGGGGACCACUUUCCAGGCAAAGAGAAUCGCUAAGCAGGAGGCCAGAUGCACCACCCUACAGGGGGAACCAGAGUGCCCCCAUAUUUUCCCCUUUCUGGCCUGGGUAGAGCUGCUGAGGUUGGGAUCAAAUCCUUGGUCCCUUGUGCACCUGCAUUAGGUCUGCAGCCUGAGGUCGGGGCUGGUGGGCUCCUGUGAAGGUUGUUUGGGGCUGUAGGAGGCAGCUGGGGAGAGCCUGCACCCCCACCCUUGCUGCUCCUGAACCUACAAUAGGGGGUCCAUUCUCCUUGCCAUCCGGAAGUUCCAAGAACUGACCUUCUCUCCCCCUAAGCAAACUCUGGGAAGUUCCCAUUGUGGCGCGGUGGAAACGAAGCCGACUAGGAACCAUGAGGUUGCUGGUUCGAUCCCUGGCCUCACUCAGUGAGUUAAGGAUUCAGCGUUGCCGUGAGCUGUGGUGUAGGUUACAGACUCAGUGCAGAUCUGAUGUUGCUGUGGCUGUGGUGUAGGCCAGCAGCUGUAGCUCCAAUUGGACCCCUGGCCUGGGAACCUCCAUAUGCCUCAGGUGUGGCCCUAAAAACAAAAACAAAAACAAAAAAAACCCAAAACUCUGCCUUUGAGCAAAUCAUCAGGCUACCAUUCCACAGAGGCCCCUGUCUGUGGGAGGGCACCAGGCUGCAGGCCAGGCAGUGGAGCCUGGACUAGGCCAGGUGGAGAGGCGAGGAGACCUCGGAGUGGUAGGCAUGGCUAGGCGGGCACAGGAAAGACCUGAGUCAGGCUUCUCAUAAUAAACUACACGUGAAUAAUUCAGAAGCCAACUGGGCCUCAUUGCAUUAAUGCCGCUGCCCUUACCGCCCCUUCUGUUCCUGCUGAGGGGAGGGGGUCAUUAACGUGCUUAAGGAGGGUAGCCUGAUAGAAGACCCCCUUCUCCAAGUCAGUGCUGCCCAGGCCAAUCCCAGGAGACCCUCUGGAUCCCGAUUCCCUCAGGCCCCACCAGUCAGAGGGGCCUACUGGGCAGUGCUGUCCCAGCUAAGCUGUUCUCAGACUCAGGGUGAGAGAAGACAGGUGGCCAGACCAGGACCAGAAUAGGGGAGGAAGGGAUAAGACCUGUGGGAAACGGAGCUGUGGUAGUGCUCAAUGGGAGAAUGCAGGCGCCAGGCCCUGAGCAAAGUGGAGAAGGCAGGCAGGCCCCUGUGCACAGAGCCCAGGCGUUGCUUUGUCCAGGUGGGAUUUUCCUUGCGAUGAGAGUGAAGCUCCAGGGAACUUUUCACCCACUGUGGAUGGCUCUGCCUCCAGCCUCUCUCAGACUUGAAUCCAGCGCCAGUCCCAGCCACCGGUUUAGGCCUAGGUCCUCACCCUAGCCCACGGCAUAAGGGAUCCCCAGACCACUGGGCCUGAGAGGACAGAAACCCCUAAGUACAUACCGCAGCCUUAUUUCGAUUGAGCAGAACCAGCUUCCUUUGGCUUUUCCACUUCCCACAUGUCCCUGGCUCCUGGUCUUGAGGGAUCACCACUCAUCUGGCGCUGAAUUCUUCCAGCUCUUCCCCAGACCCCUUCGCUUCCUUUAAGUCCACCCGGCCUGCUCCUCCUGCUCCUACAUGGUGAACCUUGGCCCUGACCCUCGCACCCGGUCCUCGGGCUCUCCUGGGGCCGGCGCGAACAAGGAUCCCAGGCUGGUCUCCGCCGGUGUCGCUGGCAGCCAGAUGAGGAGGCUCGCGGGAGGCAGCUCGCGUCCCUCCUUCCCUGCCCCACCCUCCCUCUCUCUGAAUCUUCCUCUUCUGCCGCUGCCUCCUCUUCCUCUUCCCUCCACCUCUACGCAUUUCUUUUUCUUCGUUUGGUGCGGUCCGUCGGUGGAGGCCUGAACUUACUCUGCUCGUCUUGAAGCCUCAGCUGGGCCUCCGGGUUCGAGGCCAAAUUUCCAACGGCUUCCGCAGCAGGCGGCUCGGGUGUCUUUGCAGAGGCAGGUGAGACGGGCUGAUGACACCUUCACCUCAUACGGCUGCAUCGCCAGCCGGCUGUGUCAUCUCGGGUAAGUCUCUUAACCUCUGAGCCGUGACGGGGCACAAGUCAAGAGAUUUAGGAGAUGGGAGACUAAGCCUUUUGAUUCGUUUGGGGAAAGAGGUUGCCUGUUUGGGGGCCUAAGAAGGAAGAAUACUAGGUCUGAAAUGAGCAUUUACUUUAACGAAUAUUUCGAGAGCAGCUGGUAGCUGCUUUUUAUUUUUCUUUUUUUACAGCUGAUGUAAUGCCAGGCGUUAGAAAUUUCUCCGAUCCUCACCACAUCUCGGUUUUACCGAAGAGGAAACUGAGGUUAAGAUGGCGUCCUGUUGGUCAACGCCACAGGUGGGAUUCGAACCUAGAUUCCGUUCCCAGGAGCUCGUGAGUUUAAGCCACGGCCGUCUCGCCCUGCCUGGUGAAUGGAGCCCUCGCAGGGCCGGCCGCGACCUGAGCGGGGAGGGAUUGCGCUGAAUCGACGAGCGUUCCCUCUCUCUCUGUGCUGGGAAAUCUUUGAAAUUCCUGUUUUCAGGUAAACGAUUUUGGCGGCUCCCAGGGAAGGGUGGAAACGGGAGCCGGAGAGCCACUUCCGGCUCGUUAGGCGGCGGGGCGGGGAGGGCAACUCUUCCUCGAGCGCAGGGAGGUGGCGGUAGGAGAGCGAGGUGGAAGCCGCCGCUCCCCGAUUUUUCCUCUUUCGAGUUCACCCGUCGGCUCCGUCUGUUCUGUGGGAUCCACGUCUUCGGAAGUCCUGCUCCGAGAGGGAGGAGCGCGGGGCACCCGGCGCACGGCCCGGCCCGGGGCAGAGUUGGAAACACUGGCUUGGCUCCUGUUCCAAGGCUGGAGCCUCAGUUACGAAGCAAUUGAUAUGGAAAUUCUGGGCUCCUAUGUGCCCAAGCCCGUGCCAGGCACCAAGCCAAGAACAAGACAGUAUCCAGGAUGGCAGGGAGGCUAAAUUCUCUCCAUGCCAGGGAAUAUUUCCUGACCAAAGGAUCUGUCUAGGGGGAACCUGGCCACAGCCCUGAGGCAGGCAGUCCAGCUCCCAGCCCACCUCUGAGGGAUCCAAGUGGUGAAAAGAGGCGGACAUUCUCUCAGAUGGAGACAACCACCCUUCUCUUAUACUCUAGUCUCUGGAAGUGAAACCCCAGAUCUCAGCCCCUACUGAGCAGUGCAGGCUCUUCCCCAGAGCUACCCAGCUUCCAAGUAGCCAGCGGGAGGUAUGUUACUAGAUGAUGUUUUGGGGAUCCCACCCCCACCCCACCCCCGCUAUGGGGACACAGCCCUGGCCACCUUUAAUAGUUUAUUUCAGCCUGUCUCCAUUCUAUGCCCUCCUCUCUCCCCGGCCUCAUCCCCAGAAGCUGACCUGGAGCUGGAUUCCCAAAUAAACAGUAAC
Sus scrofa (pig) is the source of this 7814-nucleotide non-coding RNA. NCBI's taxonomy places the organism in Eukaryota, Metazoa, Chordata, Mammalia, Artiodactyla, Suidae. The record is from RefSeq and is a predicted model, not a curated record.